Molecule: ribosomal RNA, 467 nt
Filed under: uncultured bacterium
Lineage: Bacteria
Description: partial 16S ribosomal RNA
Rfam family: Bacterial small subunit ribosomal RNA
Source: RNAcentral
GAUGAACGCUGGCGGCGUGCUUAACACAUGCAAGUCGAACGGUGAAGCAGAGCUUGCUCUGUGGUUCAGUGGCGAACGGGUGAGUAACACGUGAGCAACCUGCCCCUGACUCUGGGAUAAGCGCUGGAAACGGCGUCUAAUACUGGAUAUGGGAUGCGACCGCAUGGUCAGCAGUUGGAAAGAUUUUUCGGUCUGGGAUGGGCUCACGGCCUAUCAGCUUGUUGGUGAGGUAAUGGCUCACCAAGGCGUCGACGGGUAGCCGGCCUGAGAGGGUGACCGGCCACACUGGGACUAAGACACGGCCCAGACUCCUACGGGAGGCAGCAGUGGGGAAUAUUGCACAAUGGGCGAAAGCCUGAUGCAGCAACGCCGCGUGAGGGAUGACGGCCUUCGGGUUGUAAACCUCUUUUAGCAGGGAAGAAGCGAAAGUGACGGUACCUGCAGAAAAAGCGCCGGCUAACUACGUG